Molecule: ribosomal RNA, 730 nt
Filed under: Clostridioides difficile
Lineage: Bacteria; Bacillati; Bacillota; Clostridia; Peptostreptococcales; Peptostreptococcaceae
Description: partial 23S ribosomal RNA
Rfam family: Bacterial large subunit ribosomal RNA
Source: RNAcentral
CCCCAGUAAACGGCGGCCGUAACUAUAACGGUCCUAAGGUAGCGAAAUUCCUUGUCGGGUAAGUUCCGACCCGCACGAAAGGCGUAACGAUUUGGGCACUGUCUCAACAACAGACUCGGUGAAAUUGUAAUUCCGGUGAAGAUGCCGGAUACCUGCGACAGGACGGAAAGACCCCAUGGAGCUUUACUGUAGCUUGACAUUGGGUCUUGGUACUACAUGUACAGGAUAGGUGGGAGGCUUUGAAACCAGGACGCCAGUUUUGGCGGAGCCAUCCUUGGGAUACCACCCUUGUAGUACUGGGACUCUAACCAUAGGCCAUGAAUCUGGUCUUGGGACACUGUCAGGUGGGCAGUUUGACUGGGGCGGUCGCCUCCCAAAAGGUAACGGAGGCGCUCAAAGGUUCUCUCAGUACGGUCGGAAAUCGUACGUAGAGUGUAAAGGCAAAAGAGAGCUUGAUUGCAAGACAUACAGGUCGAGCAAGGAUGAAAAUCGGACUUAGUGAUCCGGUGGUUCUGCGUGGAAGGGCCAUCGCUCAACGGAUAAAAGCUACCCUGGGGAUAACAGGCUUAUCUCCCCCAAGAGUCCACAUCGACGGGGAUGUUUGGCACCUCGAUGUCGGCUCAUCACAUCCUGGGGCUGUAGUAGGUCCCAAGGGUUGGGCUGUUCGCCCAUUAAAGUGGUACGCGAGCUGGGUUCAGAACGUCGUGAGACAGUUCGGUCCCUAUCCGUC